GAUGAACGCUGGCGGCGUGCCUAAUACAUGCAAGUCGAACGAACAGACGAGGAGCUUGCUCCUCUGACGUUAGCGGCGGACGGGAGAGUAACACGUGGAUAACCUACCUAUAAGACUGGGAUCACUUCGGGAAACCGGAGCUAAUACCGUAUAAUAUAUUGAACCGCAUGGUUCAAUAGUGAAAGACGGUUUUGCUGUCACUUAUAGAUGGAUCCGCGCCGCAUUAGCUAGUUGGUAAGGUAACGGCUUACCAAGGCAACGAUGCGUAGCCGACCUGAGAGGGUGAUCGGCCACACUGGAACUGAGACACGGUCCAGACUCCUACGGGAGGCAGCAGUAGGGAAUCUUCCGCAAUGGGCGAAAGCUUGACGGAGCAACGCCGCGUGAGUGAUGAAGGUCUUCGGAUCGUAAAACUCUGUUAUUAGGGAAGAACAAAUGUGUAAGUAAAUAUGCACGUCUUGACGGUACCUAAUCAGAAAGCCACGGCUAACUACGUG
This 497-nucleotide ribosomal RNA is filed under the name uncultured bacterium. RNAcentral's name for it is "partial 16S ribosomal RNA". It matches the Rfam family "Bacterial small subunit ribosomal RNA", at positions 28 to 507 of the family's 1533-position model. The record is from RNAcentral.